Molecule: ribosomal RNA, 440 nt
Filed under: uncultured bacterium
Lineage: Bacteria
Description: partial 16S ribosomal RNA
Rfam family: Bacterial small subunit ribosomal RNA
Source: RNAcentral
CCUACGGGUGGCAGCAGUGGGGAAUAUUGCACAAUGGGGGAAACCCUGAUGCAGCGACGCCGCGUGAGUGAUGAAGUAUUUCGGUAUGUAAAGCUCUAUCAGCAGGGAAGAUAAUGACGGUACCUGACUAAGAAGCUCCGACUAAAUACGUGCCAGCAGCCGCGGUAAUACGUAUGGAGCAAGCGUUAUCCGGCUUUACUGGGUGUAAAGGGAGCGCAGACGGCAGGGCAAGUCUGAUGUGAAAGUCCGGGGCGCAACCCCGGGACUGCAUUGGAAACUGUCCGGCUAGAGUGCAGGAGAGGUAAGUGGAAUUCCUAGUGUAGCGGGGAAAUGCAUAGAUAUCACGAGGAACCCCGAUUGCGAAGGCAGCCUGCCGGGGUGCGACUGACGCUGAGGCUCGAAGGUGCGGGUAUCAAACAGGAUUAGAUACCCUGGUAGUC